AAAAAUAUUAAAUAAUGAUCUGGUUUAUGUUUUUCAUAGGAUAGGCAUAAAGAAACAAAAAAAAUCACUUUCAAAUAUCAAACAACUUGCAAUGGUUUGUGUAAUGUUUAGUUCACCAACAUAGAGUUAAGAUCAAGUAGAAUUAACUGAAUAGUAUAAGAGAAGCAGCCAUCAGGGGCCACUAUAGUGGACUCAGCUAAUCUGAGUGUGUGUAUUUGAAUUUGUUCCAUCUUAAUUCUACAUAAGUAACCUUUCACCUGGCAGGAACACAAAUAAAUCUCAAUUUUAUUGAACCCAGUGUUAUAUAAGCAAUAAUAAAAGUAGUAGAAAUCAUCUUCCCAACCCUAGGAAAAAAAAUCAUAACCCAAUUAGAAAGAGGAAUAUAAGAAACAGACAAUAAUAUAAAAGUUGAUAUAAUUAGUUGAUAAAUAAUGUAGAAAAUAAAAUAACAAUUUUUUUAAGAAAAGCAAAAUACAGACUGAAAAAUGUGAGAAUAGAACAGAAAUGUGAAGAAUGAGAAUUAUGUAUGCAGUAAUAUUUAGAAUGUGGAAAGCUUUCCUUCUUCCCUUCCCUACACACAUUUCAGAAAAAAGUAAAUUUUAUUAGUAAAAAAUGAAAUUUUGUACUGAAAUUUAUAGAUUUUAGGACCUCAGGCAGGCUACAUUUAUUGAUUUGUGUAUUAGGGAGAUGGCAAAAGAGAAUCUAUUUUUCUUUAAGAAAUAGGAACACCCCUCUGGUUAGAGAUUCCUCAGAAUCUAGGUAUUUCCAUAUGUCUUCAUUUUGUUGUUGCUGUUAUUUAUUUAUUUAUUUGAUUUCUCUUGUUUUGAAUUGCUGUUAUUCACAUGAGCAUACCUUCCUCACUGUUUAAUGUUCUUAUUACUUGAGUUACACAGAGGGAAUCAAAGCUCAAUAUCUUGACUUAGGUUGAAGGUAAACAAGAGUAUCCAUCUACCUUUAUCACAUUCUGCAUGAGUUCACUCACCUUUACCAAUGGUAUCUGCAAAGGUCUUCAUCAAAUAAUACGUAAUUGAAAUUUGCUGCUGUUUUUCUGUAACUUCAUUUUCAUCCUCUAAGGAAUGAAUGGCAAGGACAAAGUUAGUUUCACAUCCUCCUUGCCCUUGCCAGGAGGCAUAUAGCCACAGCAGCAUAUAUACCAGAUUCUCUGUUCACAUACCCUGAGUGUUGGCUAUGCAGCUGUACCCAGUAUCCGGAGAAUAAGUAAAAUUUCUGGUUAUUAUUACCUCUCUCAGUUUCCUCUGGCACAGGCUGUUUUGUUUGUAUGUCUAUUCUAUGCAUUGCUAUGGUAAAACCCAAUGCUUGGAAUCCAUGAUGAUGAGAAAGAAAGACCUGGAUAAGGUAAUGAGAGGGCAAAAGACCAUUCUAUGCAGAUUUAGAGGAGCAGAAGAGAUUUGCUGGAGGUCUCAUUAAAAUUCAUUAAAAUGUUGACACAAAAUAGGAACCUUGAGAAAAUGUUAAAUAUCAGUUCUUAAGGAGAUGUAAAAUAUAUGUUAUUUAUGAUUGGGUUGAGGGGUGGAGGGGAAACUGAGAUGUGAAGGGAAUUAUAUUUAAGAAGACCUUUCUUUGCUUCAUGCCCUGUGCUACAUUAUGUUAUUUAAUUAAUAAAUAACAGUUACUGAAGUAGUGAUUGCUUUAAGCAAUGUAUGCACUUGGUUAGGGAAAUAUAACUUUGGGAACAUUGAAACAAGCAAGGUUUAAUUUAUUCUUCAGAAGUGCUGAGAAAAUGUGAAAGGAGCAGACAGCUAUCACAAGUGGGGUUCAGAGAGUCAUUCCAAUAAAGGGUUAGCUUUCAGUGAGUAAUGCAUAUUGGUUUUAGAGAAAACUAUAAAGGUGUUUUCAAAGAGAAUCUGUUUCUUUUUAAAGAGCCAGAUGGUAGGUGAUGGGUAGGAGGAAAUGAUGCUCAAGGAAUAGCAAGCAGAUUAGCCUAAGGGAUAGAGGAUUUGUGCUAGGCAUACUGAGUAUCAGGCUGAUUAUAAUGGCUACCUCAGUGGUACUCAGACUCUUUUUAAAAUUACAUUGUGUGAAACCCUCCUUAACUUACUGAAGCAGAACUUUUCCGGGCAAUUCACAAGAAUAGACACAGUUACAAUCACUGAGAUUGAUACUUCUGCAUUUUAUAGAUGACACUGACAAAUGGAAGGAUCCAGAGGGGAGAGCCAAUACAGAUCUAGGAAAUGUUAUACCCAGGACUUUACUAGCACCUUAGGAUACUGAGCCUGAAGCAGAAAAUACUGUAGAGGGAUUUCUUAAGUGGACAUCACACACCUAGAAAAUGUCAUGUGGGAAGGUAUGAGGAGGGUUACUCCUGAAGCCUAAACACACAGAAAAUUUAAAGAGGCUUUUAUUUCUUGUCCUAAACAAAGUGAUUGAAGUGUUGUCUAUUUAGUACGAAUAAACCAUCAUAAAGGGAAGAAGGAGCUGAACCAUGGAAACAGAGGUCAAAAUUGCCUAUUGAGUUGCUAUUUUCAAUUCAAUUUUCCAUUGCUAAGAGUUUAAAAACGUCCAUCACAAGACCAAAUGUUAUUGCUUACUACAUCAACAGGCAGGGAGAAAAUUCUAUAAGCUUACUUGUCUUUUUCUUAAGAUGGGGUGUUCUAAUAUUUUUAUGAUGUUGUAAUAUUAUAACAUCAUACCUGGCUGGGCUUAAGAGGCAGCAACACAAAAGAAAAAAAAAAGGUAACUUGAUACAUGAUGAACUUAAAUAUCUUUAAUAGCAAUAACCAAAAUUUAAUUAAUACAUUUGACAUCUAAAAAGACUUCCCAUUAUAUAUCAUUAUUUUAGGGCCAUUCAAUGCAAAUAUUUGUGUUAUGGUGAAUACAUUAAGCAUAAUUUUCAGUUUAACUGUUUUUAAAUAAACAAUUCAGUGACUUUGAGUAUAUUCAUGAUGUUAUGCAACCAUCCUCCACUAUCUCAUUCUAAAAUAUUUUUAUCGUAACCAAAAAGAAUCCUGUUAAUGUUAAGCAGCUAAUUCUAUUCCUUCCCUCCCACUGCCUUUUGAAAACACUAACCAGUCUAAUGUGUUUUCAUAGUUAUUAGUCUUGAUAUAUCAUAUUCAAUACUUGGUAUAUAAUUCAAUGCUGAAUUAUACAACAUGUGGCCUUUUGUGUCUGGCUUCUUCACUUAGCAUAAUGUAUUCAAGGCUCAUCUACAUUGUAGAUUGUAUUGGUAGAGUUGAUUUCAUUUUAUGGAUGAAUAAUAUUUUUUUGCAUGUAUAUAACUCAUUUCAUUUAUCCAUCCAUCUGGUGAUGGACAUUUAAUUGUUUUUGUGAAGAGUGCUGCUAUGAAUGUUCAUGCACAAAUUUUUGCUUGAAUGCCAGAUUCCCAUUCCUUUGAGAAUAUACCUACAAGCAGGGUUACUGCGCAAUAUGGUGUGUUAGUCUGCUUCUCAUCACAGUGACAAAAUGCCUGAGAUUAAGCAAUUUACAAGGACCAAAUAUUUAUUUAGGCUCACAGUUGGAGAGGUUUCCGUCCAUGGUCAAGCCAGCUCCAUUGUUUUAAUUUAAAGCUAAGACAAGGCAGAACAUUAUGAUGGAA
RNAcentral lists this long non-coding RNA (3553 nucleotides) under Marmota monax (woodchuck). The record is from RNAcentral. Lineage: Eukaryota; Metazoa; Chordata; Mammalia; Rodentia; Sciuridae.